RNAcentral lists this small nuclear RNA (303 nucleotides) under Sorex araneus (European shrew). Its description in RNAcentral is "7SK RNA (ENSSARG00000017919.1)". It matches the Rfam family "7SK RNA". From Rfam's summary of the family: 7SK was discovered as an abundant small nuclear RNA in the mid-70s but a possible function has only recently been suggested. Two independent studies have found that 7SK RNA binds the CDK9/cyclin T complex (known as elongation factor P-TEFb). Lineage: Eukaryota; Metazoa; Chordata; Mammalia; Eulipotyphla; Soricidae. The record is from RNAcentral.
GAAUGUGAGGGCCAGCUGACUGCUUUGUCUGUCACCCCAAUGAUCUCCAGUGUUGACUCAGCUCAUCUGGCUGGCUUGGCAGGUGCCCCUUCCUCCCUCACCACAUCAUGUUUAUUCCUCUGAAGUAUCACCCUCAGUAGCAAAGGAAAGCCUUUGCCAAGGCAGGCAUGCUGCUCUUCAUUCAGGAGUAAAGAGUAGCUGUGCUUCCCUGUCUGAACCUCCAAACAAACUCUCAAGGAUGUGAACUCGGGGCUGGAGCAAUAGUACAGUGGGUAGGCCGUUUGCCUUGCACGCAGCUGAACC